CUACGGGACGCUGCAGUGGGGAAUAUUGCACAAUGGAGGAAACUCUGAUGCAGCGACGCCGCGUGGAGGAUGACACUUUUCGGAGCGUAAACUCCUUUUAUAUAGGAAGAAGAUGACGGUACUAUAUGAAUAAGCGCCGGCUAACUCCGUGCCAGCAGCCGCGGUAAUACGGAGGGCGCAAGCGUUACUCGGAAUCACUGGGCGUAAAGAGCAUGUAGGCGGAUUAAAAAGUCAGAAGUGAAAUCCUAUAGCUUAACUAUAGAACUGCUUCUGAAACUCUUAAUCUAGAAUAUGGGAGAGGUAGAUGGAAUUUCUGGUGUAGGGGUAAAAUCCGUAGAGAUCAGAAGGAAUACCGAUUGCGAAGGCGAUCUACUAGAACAUUAUUGACGCUGAGACGCGAAAGCGUGGGGAGCAAACAGGAUUAGAUACCCGAGUAGUC
RNAcentral lists this ribosomal RNA (439 nucleotides) under uncultured bacterium. RNAcentral's name for it is "partial 16S ribosomal RNA". It matches the Rfam family "Bacterial small subunit ribosomal RNA", at positions 339 to 795 of the family's 1533-position model. The record is from RNAcentral.